AGUAAUCACACUCUCCACGGCGAAAGGAAUGAACAUUGGCAUUCGGGUUCGAAUUCCCAUACGAUACAAAAUUAGAAUUCCCAUGAGAAUCCAAUCCCUGAUUUCUAUUCAACCCAUUAGGUAUUGGCUCCCUAAACCCCACUUCGCGGUUUAAAUCCUUGGCAGAGCUACUAUUCCCAUUAACCAAAACCCUAGGAAAUUGAGUAGGAGAAAA
This 214-nucleotide unclassified non-coding RNA is filed under the name Hevea brasiliensis (rubber tree). Lineage: Eukaryota; Viridiplantae; Streptophyta; Magnoliopsida; Malpighiales; Euphorbiaceae. The record is from RNAcentral.